GGACCGUGUCCGUGAACGGGAGCGGGAGCUGGAGAGGGCCGUUGCGGCCUUUCGAGAGGUAGCGCUGCAGGAACGCAUUUUUGUUUAUGAACAGGAUGCCCAGACUGCAGUGAAUAGUGAAUCGAAUUACAACCUUAGAGGCCGAGAAUCAGCGUUUGAGGGAUCAGGCUACCUCUUUCGGCCUGGCUCGCGACCUGUGGACGUUUGCCGAGGCUCAGCUCAACGUGUACAAGUGACUAUGGGAGGUCGGCAUUGUGCCUGAAACCUCUUAUGAGGAAGCCUGUCAAAGGC
RNAcentral lists this long non-coding RNA (291 nucleotides) under Nicotiana benthamiana. RNAcentral's name for it is "long non-coding RNA (NBEN_LNC013176)". Lineage: Eukaryota; Viridiplantae; Streptophyta; Magnoliopsida; Solanales; Solanaceae. The record is from RNAcentral.